GACGAACGCUGGCGGCGUGCCUAAUACAUGCAAGUCGAGCGAAGUUUUUCUGGUGCUUGCACUAGAAAAACUUAGCGGCGAACGGGUGAGUAACACGUAAAGAACCUACCUCAUAGACUGGGACAACUAUUGGAAACGAUAGCUAAUACCGGAUAACAGCAUUAACUGCAUGGUUGAUGUUUAAAAGUUGGUUUUGCUAACACUAUGAGAUGGCUUUGCGGUGCAUUAGCUAGUUGGUGGGGUAAAGGCCUACCAAGGCGACGAUGCAUAGCCGACCUGAGAGGGUGAUCGGCCACACUGGGACUGAGACACGGCCCAGACUCCUACGGGAGGCAGCAGUAGGGAAUCUUCCGCAAUGGGCGAAAGCCUGACGGAGCAACGCCGCGUGAGUGAAGAAGGAUUUCGGUUCGUAAAGCUCUGUUGUUAGGGAAGAAUGAUUGUGUAGUAACUAUACACAGUAGAGACGGUACCUAACCAGAAAGCCACGGCUAACUACGUGCCAGCAGCCGCGGUAAUACGUAGGUGGCAAGCGUUGUCCGGAAUUAUUGGGCGUAAAGCGCGCGCAGGUGGUUUAAUAAGUCUGAUGUGAAAGCCCACGGCUCAACCGUGGAGGGUCAUUGGAAACUGUUAAACUUGAGUGCAGGAGAGAAAAGUGGAAUUCCUAGUGUAGCGGUGAAAUGCGUAGAGAUUAGGAGGAACACCAGUGGCGAAGGCGGCUUUUUGGCCUGUAACUGACACUGAGGCGCGAAAGCGUGGGGAGCAAACAGG
This 768-nucleotide ribosomal RNA is filed under the name uncultured bacterium. Its description in RNAcentral is "bacterial SSU rRNA". It matches the Rfam family "Bacterial small subunit ribosomal RNA", at positions 28 to 776 of the family's 1533-position model. The record is from RNAcentral.